RNAcentral lists this long non-coding RNA (522 nucleotides) under Sus scrofa (pig). RNAcentral's name for it is "lncRNA (ENSSSCG00030049216.1)". Lineage: Eukaryota; Metazoa; Chordata; Mammalia; Artiodactyla; Suidae. The record is from RNAcentral.
GUUGCUACUUAGUGAGGAAAACACAGAUAAAUUACAAGGGAGCCUGUCCUCCAGGGACUUAGUUGCAUCAGAGCCGUGGAUCAAAAUGGCGGCCAGGGUCUUGGACGGAACCCGAGACAUGAGUUUGGAUCCUUCGCUGCUUAUCACCCGGGGAAGCCAAGAUGACCUAAGUCCUGUGACUGACCUUUAACCCAGCCUGUGAAAUGGGAGCCGAGAGGGAAUCUGUGAGGUCUCCCUAAGGGUGAAAGGAGAUAAGCCGUGAAGGCGCUGCACACAUGGCAGAUCUAGAAGAUCUAGAGCACGGAAGACAACCACGCAACGGCCACGACAGAUGCUGAAAGUGGACAGAGCUUCAAAGGAGGACCAGCGGGGGAGCAGGGAGAGCUCAAGGUCACGGUGUGUGCUGACGGACAGGGGAAGAGUUGUGGGACAACAAUGGAUCCAGUGCCAAGUUCCACACACCUGUUCUGGAUAAGGAAGACUCAGGACAGAGUACAGAGAGGAGGGUGGAGGAAGCCCAGG